CAGCCGCCGCGGUAAAACGUAGGGUGCAAGCGUUAAUCGGAAUUACUGGGCGUAAAGCGUGCGCAGGCGGUUCGCUAAGACAGAUGUGAAAUCCCCGGGCUUAACCUGGGAACUGCAUUUGUGACUGGCGGGCUAGAGUAUGGCAGAGGGGGGUAGAAUUCCGCGUGUAGCAGUGAAAUGCGUAGAGAUGUGGAGGAAUACCGAUGGCGAAGGCAGCCCCCUGGGCCAAUACUGACGCUCAUGCACGAAAGCGUGGGGAGCAAACAGGAUUAGAUACCCGCGUAGUCCCUGUCUCUUAUAA
RNAcentral lists this ribosomal RNA (301 nucleotides) under uncultured bacterium. RNAcentral describes it as "partial 16S ribosomal RNA". It matches the Rfam family "Bacterial small subunit ribosomal RNA", at positions 509 to 809 of the family's 1533-position model. The record is from RNAcentral.